RNAcentral lists this ribosomal RNA (112 nucleotides) under Caerostris extrusa. The record is from RNAcentral. Lineage: Eukaryota; Metazoa; Arthropoda; Arachnida; Araneae; Araneidae.
AACGGCCAUACCAUGCUGAAUAUGCCGGUUCUCGUUAGAUCACCGAAGUCAAGCAUCAUUGGGCGCGGUCAGUACUUGGGUGGGUGACCAUCUGGGAACACCGCGUGCCGUU